AACGAACGCUGGCGGCAGGCUUAACACAUGCAAGUCGAGCGCCCCGCAAGGGGAGCGGCCGACGGGUGAGUAACGCGUGGGAACAUACCUUUUGGUUCGGAACAACUCCGGGAAACUGGAGCUAAUACCGGAUAAGCCCUAACGGGGAAAGAUUUAUCGCCGAAAGAUCGGCCCGCGUCUGAUUAGCUAGUUGGUGAGGUAACGGCUCACCAAGGCGACGAUCAGUAGCUGGUCUGAGAGGAUGAUCAGCCACACUGGGACUGAGACACGGCCCAGACUCCUACGGGAGGCAGCAGUGGGGAAUAUUGGACAAUGGGCGCAAGCCUGAUCCAGCCAUGCCGCGUGAGUGAUGAAGGCCUUAGGGUUGUAAAGCUCUUUUGUCCGGGAAGAUAAUGACUGUACCGGAAGAAUAAGCCCCGGCUAACUUCGUG
This 431-nucleotide ribosomal RNA is filed under the name uncultured bacterium. Its description in RNAcentral is "partial 16S ribosomal RNA". It matches the Rfam family "Bacterial small subunit ribosomal RNA", at positions 29 to 507 of the family's 1533-position model. The record is from RNAcentral.